ACAAACUUGGUCAUUUAGAGGAAGUAAAAGUCGUAACAAGGUCUCCGUUGGUGAACCAGCGGAGGGAUCAUUAGAGAGUUCUACAACUCCCAAACCCCUGUGAACAUACCCCCCGUUGCCUCGGCAGGUCGCGGCUACCCGGCGGCGCCCCACACCGUGGGGCCCGCCCGGCGGACGCGGUCAAGCCUGCCGGCGGCCCACGAAACUCUGUCUAUGAAAAAAAUUGAAUCUCUGAUCAAGCAAACAAAUAAGUUAAAACUUUCAACAACGGAUCUCUUGGUUCUGGCAUCGAUGAAGAACGCAGC
This 305-nucleotide unclassified non-coding RNA is filed under the name uncultured fungus. Its description in RNAcentral is "partial contains small subunit ribosomal RNA, internal transcribed spacer 1, and 5.8S ribosomal RNA". The stretch from base 1 to 73 matches the Rfam family "Eukaryotic small subunit ribosomal RNA", at positions 1759 to 1831 of the family's 1831-position model. The record is from RNAcentral. Lineage: Eukaryota; Fungi.